Molecule: ribosomal RNA, 253 nt
Filed under: uncultured bacterium
Lineage: Bacteria
Description: partial 16S ribosomal RNA
Rfam family: Bacterial small subunit ribosomal RNA
Source: RNAcentral
UACGGAGGGUGCAAGCGUUGCUCGGAAUUAUUGGGCGUAAAGCGCGUGUAGGCGGCUGGACAAGUCUGAUGUGAAAUCCUGGGGCUCAACCCCAGAACUGCAUCGGAUACUGUCUAGCUAGAGGAUGAGAGAGGAUGGUGGAAUUCCUGGUGUAGGGGUGAAAUCCGUAGAUAUCAGGAGGAACAUCGGUGGCGAAGGCGGCCAUCUGGCUCAUUUCUGACGCUGAGACGCAAAAGCGUGGGGAGCAAACAGG